AUAUUGCACAAUGGGGGAAACCCUGAUGCAGCGACGCCGCGUGAAGGAAGAAGUAUUUCGGUAUGUAAACUUCUAUCAGCAGGGAAGAAAAUGACGGUACCUGACUAAGAAGCCCCGGCUAACUACGUGCCAGCAGCCGCGGUAAUACGUAGGGGGCAAGCGUUAUCCGGAUUUACUGGGUGUAAAGGGAGCGUAGGCGGUCUGACAAGUCAGAAGUGAAAGCCCGGGGCUCAACCUCGGGACUGCUUUUGAAACUGCCGGACUAGAUUGCAGGAGAGGUAAGUGGAAUUCCUAGUGUAGCGGUGAAAUGCGUAGAUAUUAGGAGGAACACCAGUGGCGAAGGCGGCCAACUGGGCUUUAACUGACGCUGAGGCUCGAAAGUGUGGGGAGCAAACAG
Molecule: ribosomal RNA, 397 nt
Filed under: uncultured bacterium
Lineage: Bacteria
Description: bacterial SSU rRNA
Rfam family: Bacterial small subunit ribosomal RNA
Source: RNAcentral